Acinonyx jubatus (cheetah) is the source of this 2286-nucleotide long non-coding RNA. RefSeq lists it as uncharacterized. The record is from RefSeq and is a predicted model, not a curated record. The transcript is spliced from 2 exons. NCBI's taxonomy places the organism in Eukaryota, Metazoa, Chordata, Mammalia, Carnivora, Felidae.
UUGAGUUGUGAGAAUCAAGAGGGUGGAAUUUACGUCGUGUUUCAUUUUAAAAACUUAGCAGGGUGCCUGGAAUUUAAUUGCUUAAUAACUAUUGUUUUAGAAUGAUUCAUUCGUUUUAAUACUUCGAGGGUGGAAAUUGUCUGGGAUGUGAAAGAGGCUUGAAAACAUUUGCUCUUCGAGUGGAUAGCUCUAUUCAAUCCUUUACACACACUUUGUUAUGAAGAAAGGACUCACCCAUGAGUCUGAGUAAACAAACAGCAGAAUUUGGGGAUGAUGCUGAAAAGCAACCAAUCAAUCAUACAUACACACUGGCACUCUCAAUUCCAUGAUUUUAGCAAAACCCUUUAAAUUUUAAAAUAACGUGUUUCUACUCAAUGCUGUUUCAUGCCCUCAUUCUCAACCCGGUUUUCACAGUGAUUCUCAAUCUAUAUCACAAAUUCUUACCACAGGUACAGACUUUUUUGCCCAACUGAAAAGGUGUAUUAUUUUAGCACCGUGAAAAUAAAUGUUCUCAGCAGGCCUUGUCACAAACUCUUAUAUUAGGGCAAAACUUACGGUGAAGAGGUGAGAUGCCCAAGGCUAGUGAAAUCCCAAGCAUGCAUGCAUGUAAAUGAGCAAGAGCAGGAUGAUAAACUAUCCUUCUCCCAAAGGAUCACAAUGCUAGGUAAUGAUCAACAUGGGUGUUUAACUUGUAUAGGGAUCCGAUGUUUGGAAACGUUGCUAUACUGCGGUAGUUGCCCUAUAAAUAUUGCAGACCUUAGUGUUUUCUUCUGUAGUUUUUAUUGAUAUCAUUGACAUAUAACAUCAUAUUAGUUUCAGGUGUAUACAACAGGAUUUGACUGUAAGUAUAUACUGCGAAACGAUUACCACAAGAAGUUAAAACAGUUUGAGUCUUUUAAUUCCCUAUGGUUAGUAGUGAAGUCAAGGACUAGUGUCAAGGUAUCAUUUAAGGAGGUAAAAGUAUUGUUCUUGUUCAACUAAUAACUCUGCUUUGGAAAUAUCGACCUGUUGGGGAGUCUGUGCUCAUAAAACAAAUGUUUGGUUCAGUAAUCAUUUCGCUAAAUAUCACAGCAAUUUUCAGGGUUUCUUUCCAAAACAUCACGGAUUAUUAGGUAGUUGGUGCUACGUGGUGCCGUUUAUAUUUUUGUCAGGUAAUACAGUGUGAUAUAGCAAUGGAUAACAACCUUAGGUAUUUAUUUUAAGUGGGUCAUAGGAUGCUUUGAGAUGAGGAUAUAACAAUUUCUUAAAAGCUGUUUAUCAACAAGACUGCAGUAGAAAUUACUAUUUAGAUCUAUAGUGCUCACUCAUUUAAAGAAAAAGAAAACAUUAUGACAAAUAAACCUGGGAAGAAUAUGUUUACUACCACUGGCAAAAAAGAAUAACCAUUUAUUAAAGUAGAUACAGAACACUCGUUUGCUCAAAUUUUAAUACUGCUUUACAUUUUGUUUGUGAAACACUUCCUAUUAUAAUGUUUAUAACCAAAAAUUUUAACUAAUUACAGAUUUUUCACUUGUCAGACACACAUUUGAUAAUCUUGAGGGAAAAAAUACAUCAAAGGCAUAUAUACAAUUAUAGAAGUUCUUACUAUACAUGUAGCACGGAAGAUACAUUACUUUUUACAUAUUGUAGAAGACAUUCAAGUGAGAUAAAUAGAUUCAAACUGGUUGAUAAACUUCUGAUGGUUGAGGUCCUUCAUUUUAUUUUUUUGUGAUAAGAAAAUCCAAAAUUAUCAAUGUUGAAUUUCUCAUCGUACAUUCAUCUAAAAACAGUUUUAAAAAAAACUUGUAAAGGUUGUAGAUUGGUUAAUUUAGGUGUUUUAAUAGUGGCUUAUUAUCUAAUUGACUGCUGGGGAUAUCUGCUGAAGAAGGAAAAAGAUUUAGAGAAAAUUCUCCCAGGUAUUUAUAUCUGAUAAAGAAACAAAAUGAAAAUGGAAAAAAAAACUAGUUGCAAAGCCACGUGAUAUCACUUCGGGCCUAGUCCAUUAUGUCCUGGUGUGUUUUCUUUUUCAUAAAGGUAAAAAUCUGAAAAGAAAGACAUUGUAUUUUGUCCCAAAAUAUAGAUUUUUAAAAAAUAUAUACAUAUAAUAUAUAGAAGCUGAAAUUAUGCAAAAACCAAUAAACAAAACACCACAGUAGAGUAAGUAGGUGCAGCAUAUAGAUUAUAAAAUGUCCCCACAGCAGUUUGGGGGCUUCCCCCUCCUGUUACCUGUUUCAUGAUUUUAUAAUCACACCUAAGUAUUAUCAAGCCUGAAAUAAAGGCACUACUGACAUCAGGUAGUGCAAAGAG